GAUGAACGCUGGCGGCGUGCCUAAUACAUGCAAGUCGAGCGAACAGACGAGGAGCUUGCUCCUCUGACGUUAGCGGCGGACGGGUGAGUAACACGUGGAUAACCUACCUAUAAGACUGGGAUAACUUCGGGAAACCGGAGCUAAUACCGGAUAAUAUAUUGAACCGCAUGGUUCAGUAGUGAAAGACGGUUUUGCUGUCACUUAUAGAUGGAUCCGCGCCGCAUUAGCUAGUUGGUAAGGUAACGGCUUACCAAGGCAACGAUGCGUAGCCGACCUGAGAGGGUGAUCGGCCACACUGGAACUGAGACACGGUCCAGACUCCUACGGGAGGCAGCAAUAGGGAAUCUUCCGCAAUGGGCGAAAGCCUGACGGAGCAACGCCGCGUGAGUGAUGAAGGUCUUCGGAUCGUAAAACUCUGUUAUUAGGGAAGAACAAAUGUGUAAGUAACUAUGCACGUCUUGACGGUACCUAAUCAGAAAGCCACGGCUAACUACGUG
Molecule: ribosomal RNA, 497 nt
Filed under: uncultured bacterium
Lineage: Bacteria
Description: partial 16S ribosomal RNA
Rfam family: Bacterial small subunit ribosomal RNA
Source: RNAcentral